This 429-nucleotide ribosomal RNA is filed under the name uncultured bacterium. Its description in RNAcentral is "bacterial SSU rRNA". It matches the Rfam family "Bacterial small subunit ribosomal RNA", at positions 966 to 1395 of the family's 1533-position model. The record is from RNAcentral.
UACCCAGGUUCUUGACAUCCCUUUGAAGGUUUUAGAGAUAAGAAGUUUUCUUUUUUGGGAGACAAAGUGACAGGUGGUGCAUGGUCGUCGUCAGCUCGUGUCGUGAGAUGUUGGGUUAAGUCCCGCAACGAGCGCAACCCUUAUUGUUAGUUGCCAACAUUCAGAUGGGCACUCUAGCGAGACUGCCGGUGACAAACCGGAGGAAGGCGGGGACGACGUCAGAUCAUCAUGCCCCUUAUGACCUGGGCUACACACGUGCUACAAUGGCGUAUACAACGAGUUGCCAACCCGCGAGGGUGAGCUAAUCUCUUAAAGUACGUCUCAGUUCGGAUUGUAGUCUGCAACUCGACUACAUGAAGUCGGAAUCGCUAGUAAUCGCGGAUCAGCACGCCGCGGUGAAUACGUUCCCGGGUCUUGUACACACCGCCU